This 433-nucleotide ribosomal RNA is filed under the name uncultured bacterium. RNAcentral describes it as "partial 16S ribosomal RNA". It matches the Rfam family "Bacterial small subunit ribosomal RNA", at positions 29 to 507 of the family's 1533-position model. The record is from RNAcentral.
AACGAACGCUGGCGGCAUGCCUAACACAUGCAAGUCGAACGAGACCUUCGGGUCUAGUGGCGCACGGGUGCGUAACGCGUGGGAACCUGCCCUUAGGUUCGGAAUAACUCCCCGAAAGGGGUGCUGAUACCGGAUAAUGUCUUCGGACCAAAGAUUUAUCGCCUUUGGAUGGGCCCUCGUUGGAUUAGCUAGUUGGUAGGGUAAAAGCCUACCAAGGCGACGAUCCAUAGCUGGUCUGAGAGGAUGAUCAGCCACACUGGGCCUGAGACACGGCCCAGACUCCUACGGGAGGCAGCAGUAGGGAAUAUUGGACAAUGGGCGAAAGCCUGAUCACGCAAUGCCGCGUGAGUGAUGAAGGCCUUAGGGUUGUCAAGCUCUUUUACCCGGGAUGAUAAUGACAGUACCGGGAGAAUAAGCUCCGGCUAACUACGUG